GUGAGGUAAUGGCUCACCAAGGCUACGAUCAGUAGCAGUCUGAGAGGAUGAUCUGCCACACUGGGACUGAGACACGGCCCAGACUCCUACGGGAGGCAGCAGUUAGGAAUAUUGGACAAUGGGCGAAAGCCUGAUCCAGCCAUGCCGCGUGUGUGAUGAAGGCCCUAGGGUUGUAAAGCACUUUCGUUGGGGAAGAUAAUGACUGUACCCAAAGAAGAAGCACCGGCUAACUUCGUGCCAGCAGCCGCGGUAAUACGAAGGGUGCAAGCGUUGUUCGGAAUCACUGGGCGUAAAGAAUGCGUAGGCGGCUUAACAAGUCGGGAGUGAAAUCCCAGGGCUCAACCCUGGAACUGCUCUCGAAACUGUUUUGCUAGAGUCCCGGAGGGGUUAGCGGAAUUCCGAGUGUAGAGGUGAAAUUCGCAGAUAUUCGGAGGAACACCAGUGGCGAAGGCGGCUAACUGGACGGGAACUGACGCUGAGGCAUGAAAGUGUGGGGAUCAAACAGGAUUAGAUACCCUGGUAGUCCACACCGUAAACGAUGUGUGCUAGUUGUCGGGCAGCUUUGCUGUUCGGUGACGGAGCUAACGUUUUAAGCACACCGCC
This 603-nucleotide ribosomal RNA is filed under the name uncultured bacterium. RNAcentral's name for it is "bacterial SSU rRNA". It matches the Rfam family "Bacterial small subunit ribosomal RNA", at positions 252 to 873 of the family's 1533-position model. The record is from RNAcentral.